Molecule: non-coding RNA, 48 nt
Filed under: Trichobilharzia regenti
Lineage: Eukaryota; Metazoa; Platyhelminthes; Trematoda; Strigeidida; Schistosomatidae
Source: RNAcentral
AUUCAGCUGAUGAAUCCCAAAUAGGACGAAAUGCGCUUUAUCCUGGAU